RNAcentral lists this ribosomal RNA (497 nucleotides) under uncultured bacterium. RNAcentral describes it as "partial 16S ribosomal RNA". It matches the Rfam family "Bacterial small subunit ribosomal RNA", at positions 28 to 507 of the family's 1533-position model. The record is from RNAcentral.
GACGAACGCUGGCGGCGUGCCUAAUACAUGCAAGUUGAGCGCUGAAGGCUGGUACUUGUACCAACUGGACGAGCAGCGAACGGGUGAGUAACGCGUGGGGAAUCUGCCUUUGAGCGGGGGACAACAUUUGGAAACGAAUGCUAAUACCGCAUAAAAACUUUAAACACAAGUUUUAAGUUUGAAAGAUGCAAUUGCAUCACUCAAAGAUGAUCCCGCGUUGUAUUAGCUAGUUGGUGAGGUAAAGGCUCACCAAGGCGAUGAUACAUAGCCGACCUGAGAGGGUGAUCGGCCACAUUGGGACUGAGACACGGCCCAAACGCCUACGGGAGGCAGCAGUAGGGAAUCUUCGGCAAUGGACGGAAGUCUGACCGAGCAACGCCGCGGGAGUGAAGAAGGUUUUCGGAUCGUAAAACUCUGUUGGUAGAGAAGAACGUUGGUGAGAGUGGAAAGCUCAUCAAGUGACGGUAACUACCCAGAAAGGGACGGCUAACUACGUG